RNAcentral lists this ribosomal RNA (440 nucleotides) under uncultured bacterium. RNAcentral describes it as "partial 16S ribosomal RNA". It matches the Rfam family "Bacterial small subunit ribosomal RNA", at positions 338 to 795 of the family's 1533-position model. The record is from RNAcentral.
CCUACGGGAGGCUGCAGUGGGGAAUAUUGCACAAUGGGGGAAACCCUGAUGCAGCGACGCCGCGUGAGUGAAGAAGUAUUUCGGUAUGUAAAGCUCUAUCAGCAGGGAAGAAAAUGACGGUACCUGAUUACGACGCCCCGGCUAACUACGUGCCAGCAGCCGCGGUAAUACGUAGGGGGCAAGCGUUAUCCGGCUUUACUGGGUGGAACGGGAGCGUAGACGGUGAUGCAAGUCAGAAGUGAAAGCCCGGGGCUCAACUCCGGGACUGCUUUUGAAACUGUGUGACUGGAGUGCAGGAGAGGUAAGCGGAAUUCCUGGUGUAGCGGUGAAAUGCGUAGAUAUAUGGAAGAACACCAGUGGCGAAAGCGGCUCUCUGGUCUGUAACUGACGCUGAGGUUCGAAAGCGUGGGUAGCAAACAGGAUUAGAUACCCCUGUAGUC